Molecule: unclassified non-coding RNA, 282 nt
Filed under: uncultured fungus
Lineage: Eukaryota; Fungi
Description: partial contains 5.8S ribosomal RNA, internal transcribed spacer 2, and large subunit ribosomal RNA
Source: RNAcentral
AACGCACAUUGCGCCCGCCAGCAUUCUGGCGGGCAUGCCUGUCCGAGCGUCAUUUCAACCCUCGAGCCCCCCCCCUCGCCUCGCGGCGGGGGGCGCGCUCGGUGUUGGGGACCGGCCCCGCCCCAGGGCGCCGCCCCCGAAAUCCAGUGGCGGUCACGCCGCAGCCUCCCCUGCGCAGUAGCUUGCACGCUCGCACCGGAGAGCGGCGCGGCCACGCCGUGAAACCACCACGACCCCCGAAAGGUUGACCUCGGAUCAGGUAGGAAUACCCGCUGAACUUAA